Molecule: long non-coding RNA, 3700 nt
Filed under: Homo sapiens (human)
Lineage: Eukaryota; Metazoa; Chordata; Mammalia; Primates; Hominidae
Description: HSALNT0195299
Source: RNAcentral
UUGUGGGGCAGAGUGGGGUUUCGCCCUGGGGGAGCAUAUGUGGCAGAGGGCACAGGAAGAUCUGUAAGCAAGAGGGCAUAGCAAAUUAAAUGACCACACUGUCAGGAAGGUUGACAGGCCAAAGAAAGAUCAGCUCCUCCAAAUCUGCUGAACUAACUCUCCCCUCGUAGCCCCAGACACGUUUUCUCAAUUUGAGCACAAUAUCCAUUACUAUUUCCCGUACUGGGUUUCAAUUAAAGAGAGUGAGAGUAGAAAGUUCACUGGUGUUUGGGGGUUCAUUUAUUUCCAAGCAGGAUGCAAAUGAAAGGGAGCCGUGGGCACAGAGUUGUCAUGUGUGUUUUUCCUCCCUCUUCUUUCCAUUUCCUUCUUGCAACCUUCCCUCCACUUCUUGCCAGCCACCCAGCACACCCGUGUUCCCAAAGCAAAUGUUUUCAUGUCUUGAAAAUCCAGUUAGGGUGAGGAGAGAAGGAAGGUGAUAACAUCAUACCUACUGAUGCCCCCUAGAGAUGAAGCUGUCCUGGGGGCACUUAAGGCUUGAGGGAAGGAUUUACCUUCUCGAGAUGGGCACAGGAAUUGGGGUAGUGUGAGCACUUGAAGGGUUCCAGGUUUUACUGUUGCACUGAAAACAGAUGCAAUCCCUCCUGCUGUAACAUGCCCCUAUGGAAAAAAUCUAGCCUUCUGUGCAGUUAUCCUGUUUUGGUCCUAGAACACAGGGUGGUGAUCUUGCUUCUCUGGGGGGUGCCAGGCAAAUAGAAGACGUGAAAAUCUGCUGCCAAGGUCAGGAUGUAGGUCCUGGAUUCAGGAUCUUGACCCCAGGCCUGCCCUGUCACCGAGCAGUGGUCUCACAACCAGGCAAACUCUCUGGCCAAACUCACUUCACACAAACUUGAGCUGAGCACCAGCCCUCCAACCCCCUCCACCUUCUAUGAUCACUGACUUUGUACCAUGGCCACACAGACCACUGGGCAGAAGAGUAGCUGCAGGGUGUCGGUCUUAAUUUCAUGACACUCUGCGUAGCCUCCUCCUCCUUCCACGUCAGCAAAAGAAACUAGAGGCCUCAACAAUGUGACUGUAUUUUGAGUUGGGAUGUGUCCCUCCCAAAUCAAUCAUCCCGGCUCCAAAUAAUACAAACAAAUUCUACAUAUUUUAAAAUGUCCCAAGUCUUGUAUGAUAUCCAGGGACCGAUUAGUGCCGACUGGAGAGACUAUUCCCUCUCCCAUUCCGAAUAAAGGGUUAGGUGAAGGUUGUGGCCCGAGAGAUCCCAGAAGCCCUUAAAAGUCUUUAGCUUGGGGUUUGAAUAAUGAGGGCUAGAUAAGUUUGUUUUCUCUUCCUUUCAAAAAUUUUUUUAUUUUAGAGGAAGGGGAAUGAGGAAGGCGCACGCGCGCGCUCACACACACACACACACACACACACACACGCAGAAAGAGAGAAAAUGUUUGGAAUUGUGAAAGUGCCUUUCCUAGUAGUUGCUUUUACUGGCGCCCGGGCCUCAAUUCAUUUCAUCUCUGAACCAGAUACUAAAAAUCCUCCAGGCGAGUGGAGAGGACCGGCCUUCCUGGAUCGGGAACCUGCCCUCUGUCUUCCCUCGCAGCGCCCUUUCCUCCUUUCGCUUGGGAAAGGAAGAUUUCGAGCCCCAGGAAGGAGUUGGGAGUGAGCGACAGCCCAGAGCGUCCCAUAAGGUCCUUUUGGCCAUGUUUCUGCCCCGGGGGGCUUCACCUAGAUCCCCCACCCCACCCCUUACCCCUGUUGCAAAUACGUAAGCUGGACGCGCCUCGGUGCGGAUCCAGGCCUCGCUGAGCACGGAACCGGAGAAGCAGCUCACGGCCUCGGAUUCUACUCUCACCCAAGGGUGGAAGGGGGUGACAGGGCUCGGAUCUUGCCCCAAACGCUGCACAGGCCCGCAGGAGAGCAAAGAGGUCUCGGACAGGCUGUCCUUCCCCAGCUCUCGGUCGCGACAAGGUCCCGACAGGCCCGGGAACCGGCGAACCGCCUGCAGCUGCUAUCGACAACACUUACAGCCUCCAGAAAUGACCCUUGGUGCCGACUUGUCUGGAAGCCAUCAGGGUUAGUUUUGAAGCAGGAAUCUUCAAGUGGACCAGAGGACAGGGUCUCUCUUUGUUGCCUAGGCUGGAGUGCAGUGGAACGAACUUGGCUUAUUGAAGCAUUGACCACCUGGACCCAAGUGAUUCUCCUACCUUAGCCUCUUGAAUAGCUGUGACAACAGGUGUGCACUACCACACCCAGAUAAAUUUUGUAAUUUUUAUAGAGAGGGCAUUUGACCAUGUUGCCCAGGCUGGUCUCAAACUCCUGAGCUCAAGUGAUACUCCUGCCUCGGCCUCCCAAAGUGCUGGGAUUACAGAUGAAGAAAAUGAGGCACUGAGAGAUUACAUAACUUCCCUUGAGUCAUAUUUGCUUGUAAGUGGUAAGGCUGGAUGUUGAACCCAGGACAAAGGGUCUCACUCUGUCGCCCAGUCUGGAGUGCAAUGGUGUGAUCACGGUCACUGCAACCUCUGCCUCCCGGGUUCAAGCGAUUCUCCUGCCUCAGCCUCCCAAGUAGCUGGGAUUACAGCGGCUUGCAGUAAACUUCUUGGAGGAGAAUUGGCAUUGCAAGGGUGUUACUGGAGACCUCGGCAAGAAAGUGAAUGCAAAGACAGAUGACCCAGGAACCCGUGAUGGAUAAGGCUCUUGACAGCCAGGACGUGGAAUUACAGGGGGUCUCUUUGAGAGACAAAAUAAAAAAAAUAGCCCAGUAAUCUUCCUUCCACCCUUUUCUCCCAGAUCUAAUUACAGAUGUCUUGACAUUCCUUCUGCAUAGAAUUUCCUUAAAAGAUUUGCCAAGAAGAAACAUUUGGAAACUGUGUUUUAGGUAUAAUCCGUCUGGGAGUCACUCUUGCUCGCUUUGUCGUUAGAUGACAAAACGCUUAAUUACAGCGAGCACAAUGUAUACCACAUUUGGAAAACUGGAUUCUUGACCUAAAUAAUGUACCCCAUACUGACAAUGGCCUUUUGGCAAAACUUGUGUCUCUGAUCUCACAUUAAUUACUACACAAAUAUACUUAUUGUGGGCACCGAGUUUAUGGGAUGGAGUCCUCUUGACACAUGUUCACCAUAAAAACACAUUUUUUUCCCUUCCCCUGACCCUAAGGAAAAGAAAAAAAAAAAGAUUAACAUUUUUCAAGAUGCUGUUUUAGUGACAUGAAAACUGUCUGUUGAGUGUUCACUCGGCUUUUGUUCUUUUUCUUUUCUCCUUUUAUUAAAAAGCCUUUCAAACCAAGCAUUCCUGGUUUGUGAUUCUUUACUUUUGCUUUUAUGCUGAGGGAGAGACAGAUUAGAUUAGAUUAAAGACCAAGGGACACCUCGUGAAAUACAUUCCAUCUAGAGGCAAUUUGGUUGAGAGGGCCAAUUGUGUGUGUGUGUGCCUGUGUGCGUGCAGGCGUGCGUGUUUCUCCUUGUGGCAUACUGGUGGUCUUUUUACAGAUACAGAGUUCUGGUUUUUGGAAAUGCGUUUAUUCCUUUAGCCUUUUUCCCUUCAGAAGCCUGCAGCCUUUGAUUGUGGCCUGACUUUUAGGGGUCUGCGGCAUUUUGGGGGGUAGUAAAUCUUAUUAACUCUUCCCUUUAGUGUCUCGCCAUUCUCAAAAACUUUUACAAAAAGCAGCAACACCGCCCUCACCAAAGACAGAUGAAAGGAGCGGUUUCAAAG